UACGUAGGGGGCAAGCGUUGUCCGGAAUCAUUGGGCGUAAAGAGCGCGUAGGCGGCCCUGUAAGUCCGCUGUGAAAGUCAAGGGCUCAACCCUUGAAUGCCGGUGGAUACUGCAGGGCUAGAGUCCGGAAGAGGCGAGUGGAAUUCCUGGUGUAGCGGUGAAAUGCGCAGAUAUCAGGAGGAACACCGGUGGCGAAGGCGGCUCGCUGGGCCAUUCCUGACGCUGAGACGCGAAAGCUAGGGGAGCGAACAGG
Molecule: ribosomal RNA, 253 nt
Filed under: uncultured bacterium
Lineage: Bacteria
Description: partial 16S ribosomal RNA
Rfam family: Bacterial small subunit ribosomal RNA
Source: RNAcentral